GCCGAAGUGGUGGAACUGGCAGACACGCAGGAUUUAGGUUCCUGUGCCUUCGGGCGUGGGGGUUCAAGUCCCCCCUUCGGCA
Molecule: transfer RNA, 82 nt
Filed under: Nocardioides sp.
Lineage: Bacteria; Bacillati; Actinomycetota; Actinomycetes; Propionibacteriales; Nocardioidaceae
Also listed under: 1 other name
Description: tRNA-Leu
Rfam family: tRNA
About the family: Transfer RNA (tRNA) molecules are approximately 80 nucleotides in length. Their secondary structure includes four short double-helical elements and three loops (D, anti-codon, and T loops).
Source: RNAcentral